ACAUGUGCAAGCUUAAAAGGAAUAAAACAAACAAGUCAUUCUCUUCUUCACAUGAUGUUCACGACAAUUGCUAGCAAAGUCCAAAACCAAAAUUGCAGAAUUCCUUCUAUGGAAAUUGGGUCUCAACAUUUGUUUGUCCAAAUCGGGUAAAAACUUAAAUGCAUCAAUUUCUCUCUCCCUUUCAACCCAUUUUCGGUUUUCCUCUACCAAAGCAAACAUCCAAAGCUUCUCCAUCUUCCAAAACCGAGAACACACACCCAAGAAACCCCAUUUCAAGUUGCAACACCAUUCAAGACAAUAAACCCACACUACUACUACUUCAACUCAACCCAAUCUUCCAUUUCUUCAAGCUCUUGUGAAAAAAUGAAAAUAACAUUAUACCAUUCAACUCAAGCAAUGUCCAGCCCCAAUAACAUCAUCAAACUCUGGUUCCAAACUAUUUUCAAACAUCAAAACCGAAAUAUGGAAGAAAAGAGCUAAACCCACAACACCCACACAACACCUUAAGCUCUCUUUAACCUAAAACUCACGUAGAACCACAUUUUCAACAAACAACCAACCAAAAUGCAAAGAAAAACGUGAGUAACAACAGUAAAGGAGAGGAAAAACGAAAAUAUAAAGUCACUCAAACCCAACAAUCACCAUGGAAAUGCAAAGAAAAGCUUAAAAGCUCAAGCUUCAAACAUAAAAAACAAGCAAAUGGAAGAAGGAAUGAAUGGAUUUUCACCACCAAUGAGUUAAGACAGCCAAGAGUGAGUCAAGGGAAGAAGAAAAUCUGCAUAACAUUCAUUGAAAAUGGUCCAAAACCGUGGCACCAAGCAAGCACCCAUGGGAGCAUGUUCAAACAAGAGAAAACCCUAGGAGAAUGAAACCAAAAACAUGAAUAUGGAAAUGUUCAUGUGUGGCUCGGUUUUCCCACCCCAUAUGACCGAGAUUUUUAAUUUUGGUGGGGUCCACACAUUACAAGUCAGCCCUAAAGGGAUGCCACAUGGCCCCACAAUUGGUUUUUACAAAAAUGCCCCUAAAGGGGUCCAAAACACCUAAUUCUAAUUAAGGGCUUCUAGAAAACGAAAUUACAACUUCAUUAAAAUGGAAGUGACUAAAUGUUGAGUCUUGAAUGAUCACGCC
This 1128-nucleotide long non-coding RNA is filed under the name Vigna radiata. RNAcentral's name for it is "long non-coding RNA (VRAD_LNC017051)". The record is from RNAcentral. Lineage: Eukaryota; Viridiplantae; Streptophyta; Magnoliopsida; Fabales; Fabaceae.